Molecule: unclassified non-coding RNA, 334 nt
Filed under: soil metagenome
Description: partial contains 5.8S ribosomal RNA, internal transcribed spacer 2, and large subunit ribosomal RNA
Rfam family: 5.8S ribosomal RNA (bases 1-120)
Source: RNAcentral
GAUGAAGAACGUAGCGAAAUGCGAUACGUAAUGUGAAUUGCAGAAUUCAGUGAAUCAUCGAAUCUUUGAACGCACAUUGCGCCCGCCAGCACUCUGGCGGGCAUGCCUGUUCGAGCGUCAUUUCAACCAUCAAGCCCCAGGCUUGCGUUGGAGCCCUGCGGCUGCCGCAGCCUCCUAAAGGCAGUGGCGGGCUCGCUAUCACACCGAGUGCAGUAGAUUACUCUUCGCUCAGGGCGUGCAGCGGGUUCCGGCCGUGAAACCCCCUACUUUUAAAGGUUGACCUCGGAUCAGGUAGGAAUACCCGCUGAACUUAAGCAUAUCAAUAAGCGGAGGA